ACAGUAUUAUCGACGGCGUUGUUAUUGAAUCGCUUUUUCCAUCACCCGCCACCGUGUCGACGUAAAGCGUUUGUUUCGUACUAAACGGUUCGUGAGAGGAAAAAAAAAACAUAAGCGACAACACGUGACCUUUGAGCAGCGGCGGCAUGUGACCCGUUCCCGAUUGCGACCACGUGGGUGUCGUUCGCCAGUGCCGCAGCC
Molecule: non-coding RNA, 201 nt
Organism: Cinara cedri
Lineage: Eukaryota; Metazoa; Arthropoda; Insecta; Hemiptera; Aphididae
Source: the annotation of a GenBank genome assembly